UACGAAAGGUGCAAGCGUUACUCGGAAUCACUGGGCGUAAAGCGCACGUAGGCGGACUCGCAGGUCAAUUGUGAAAUACCCGGGCUCAACCUGGGAACUGCAGUUGAAACCGCUUGUCUUGAAUACCUGAGAGGGUGGGGGAAUACCUGGUGGAGAAGUGAAAUUCGUAGAGAUCAGGUGGAACACCGGAGGCGAAGGCGCCUGCCUGGCAGUGUAUUGACGCUGAGGUGCGAAAGUGCGGGGAGCAAACAGG
RNAcentral lists this ribosomal RNA (253 nucleotides) under uncultured bacterium. RNAcentral describes it as "partial 16S ribosomal RNA". It matches the Rfam family "Bacterial small subunit ribosomal RNA", at positions 524 to 776 of the family's 1533-position model. The record is from RNAcentral.